Molecule: ribosomal RNA, 198 nt
Filed under: uncultured bacterium
Lineage: Bacteria
Description: partial 16S ribosomal RNA
Rfam family: Bacterial small subunit ribosomal RNA
Source: RNAcentral
ACGCUCGACACCUACGGGAGGCAGCAGUCGGGAAUAUUGCGCAAUGGAGGAAACUCUGACGCAGUGACGCCGCGUAUGGGAAGAAGGUUUUCGGAUUGUAAACCAUUUUAGACAGGGAAGAAAAAGACAGUACCUGUAGAAUAAGCUCCGGCUAACUACGUGCCAACAGCCGCGGUAAUCUGAGCGGGCUGGCAAGGC